GCGCCCCGCAAGGGGAGCGGCAGACGGGUGAGUAACGCGUGGGAAUCUACCCAUCACUACGGAACAACUCCGGGAAACUGGAGCUAGUACCGUAUACGUCCUUCGGGAGAAAGAUUUAUCGGUGAUGGAUGAGCCCGCGUUGGAUUAGCUAGUUGGUGGGGUAAUGGCCUACCAAGGCGACGAUCCAUAGCUGGUCUGAGAGGAUGAUCAGCCACACUGGGACUGAGACACGGCCCAGACUCCUACGGGAGGCAGCAGUGGGGAAUAUUGGACAAUGGGCGCAAGCCUGAUCCAGCCAUGCCGCGUGAGUGAUGAAGGCCCUAGGGUUGUAAAGCUCUUUCAACGGUGAAGAUAAUGACGGUAACCGUAGAAGAAGCCCCGGCUAACUUCGUGCCAGCAGCCGCGGUAAUACGAAGGGGGCUAGCGUUGUUCGGAUUUACUGGGCGUAAAGCGCACGUAGGCGGAUUGUUAAGUUAGGG
This 479-nucleotide ribosomal RNA is filed under the name uncultured Alphaproteobacteria bacterium. Its description in RNAcentral is "bacterial SSU rRNA". It matches the Rfam family "Bacterial small subunit ribosomal RNA", at positions 66 to 593 of the family's 1533-position model. Lineage: Bacteria; Pseudomonadati; Pseudomonadota; Alphaproteobacteria. The record is from RNAcentral.